Molecule: long non-coding RNA, 1110 nt
Filed under: Heterocephalus glaber (naked mole-rat)
Lineage: Eukaryota; Metazoa; Chordata; Mammalia; Rodentia; Bathyergidae
Description: lncRNA (ENSHGLG00100041441.1)
Source: RNAcentral
CGGGGAACCACCGGCAGGCGGGCGGGGCUCGCUCCGGUUUUGUGACGCAGGACGCAGGCGGACGUGCGCGGCCUCCUGUCUUUUUUCAUAAUAGCCAUCCUAACAGCAGGUCACAAUUGCAGAGGAGUGAAUGUUUCUUCCUCUCCAGAAGUUAUUCUCCACCAGUGACUGAUGGGAGCUGAUGUGAACACUUCAGGCCCCUCACUCCUUGUGGUGAGCUAACACUGUGGUUCACUAAAUUAUAUGUAGAAUAACAAUUCCUCAACAUGAAGAAAUGCAUGCAGAAGUCGGGAACACUGGCACAGCUCAGGAGGCUGAGAGGGAGGAUUGUUUGAGUUCAGGAGUUCAAGGUCAUCCCCAGAGACAUAACAAGAUUCAUUUUCAAGGGAAAAACACCAAUUCACAGAAUUUGAAGGUUAUAAGGAAUCAUAGCUACUUGAAGAAAUGUCAGAUUUCAUGUCUGUGGCAGAAAAUAUACAGAAUGAACCAGAAGCAUCUUAUAUAGGAAAUUAAAAACAACUAUCCAAUAUUACUGUAGGAGGCAUGUGUCAGUUUAAGCAUCAAAAAGAACAGUAACUUCACUGGACUGGAAGACAUCAUGUAUAUUCAUGGAUUCAUAAAGAUAUAUAAAGCAAUGAAAAAACAGAAUUUUUUGAUCAAUUUUGAAGAAUGCCAAGGAAUUACCUCAUUAUUCUGAAUGCUGAUAAAUAAAAGCAAACAGGGUCUCAUUAAGUCACUAAGUUGCCCAGGCUGGUCUAGGAAGUUGAGUCCUCCUGCCUCAGCCUCCUAGAGUGCUGGAAUUAUAGGAACCAUCCUGAACCAUGAAUGGUCCGUGGCAUGUCAGGAAUGAAGCAGCACAGUGGAUGUGAAGGCAGGAGAGCAGAUUGGAGCUUCAUCUGUAUUUCCAGUACUCCCCAGUGCUCACUUUACAUCAGCUGUGGCAUUAGAUUCUCAUAGGAGCAAGACCCCUACUAUGAACUGAGGGAUCUAGUUUUCAUGCUCCUUUGAAUAAUCCCUAAACCACCUCCCUUUUUUCCCCAUCUAUGGAAAUAUUGUCUUCCACAAAACUGGUCCCUGAUGCCAAAAAGGCUGGAGACUGUGGUCCUAAAC